CUUGGGCGGGGUCCGUGGUGUUUUCUGCUUGUUACCUAUGUGACUGGGAUCUAGUAACGGGAAUAGUGUUACCUAAAGGCGUGACAGAGGCAUGAAACCUGAAGCUAACCCAACACAAAACCGUGUUUGAGCCAAUCAGAGGAUUUGUGCCAAUAUGAUGACAGGCAGCAUAAUGAUCGAGGAGAGAGCAGAGUGAUGCUGGCUAUGAAAUGUUCUCGGAUACCUGCAGCAGUAUUCCUGUUAUCAGAGAACAAUAGAAGAUGGAUUGGAGUCAGUGGAAGAAGAGGAGGAUCUGAGGAACAGGAUUACACAGCCUCUAUACACAAUGGAGAGGAUUAACCCCUUCCACAGAAGCUCCUGCACAGAGGCAAAGUUUCACACUGGAUUAUGGCACGGAUAAAGAACAAAUUUGUAAAGUACACCAAGAACCAGUGUUGCCAACCACCCGUAGAUUUACAGGCAGCCCAUAAAAACAGGCACUUUUUCUUCUGCCUGUAAAAGUCUGUAGGAGAGGAAAUGUGCCAGUAAAAAUUGCUGCGAUCGUCGCGGGUGUGAACUGUGCAGACGCAGCUCCGAAAUUCCCCGAUCCGAUCCUGAGACUGUGCCGCCCGGCCCGCCUCCGCCUGCUGAUGAUGUCAUGUGCAAGCCGCAUUUCCCGCUACACAGCGCCCGCCAGAAAAUUUAAAAUGCCAGGACAUGAGGACAGGAGCCAAGCAGAGCAGGCUAAUGGUGGAGGAGCCUGUGCAGUGCGCUGCAGUAUGUGGACAGCACAGUGGAGCUGGAGGACAUGCGGCACCAAUACACCAUCACCGUGAGAGAGAUGGAUGGACAGAGCUGACCUGCCCCGGACGGACAAGUGCCCUGGCUGCAGUCCCCUGAGUCGUGAGUGGAGUUCAUAUACACACACACACACACACUAACUUGAACUUGGAGUCCUACCACCAAAGCCCUGGCCUGACUGCAACAUCUAUCCAUCCUUCACCUGGGAUGGAUGCUCUUUAUGUGAUGUCUACAGGCAGGCACAGGCAGCAGUUAUCAGACAAGAAUGGUAGUGGUGUAAUUGUACAGUAUUACAGAUGUUCACAAUCUCUGUCUUGCUAUCCCCUGGCUCUGGUGACCAGAGUCCCCCCUUGGAUCAUGAUAACGUCAGAGUUCACUUUCACUGUAAGGGGGAAUCCUGCACACUCUGCUAUAUGUUGGAUCUCUGUGCUGGCUGGGUUAUAUUAAUCUGACCUUCAUGUAACUUGAGAAAUAUGUUUUUUGACUUUUGUGAAACUUAAACAUAUUGCUAAUAGCACUAGCUACAUGUUAAAAGAUAAAUAUUAACAUUUGUAUGGUUUAGCACUGAAAACUUAAAUUUUAGGUACUUUUUUGCAGUGUCAGUAAAAAGUGUGGCUCUGACAGUAAAUUUCAUGACUAUUUGCCAGUAAAAAAUUGGUGCCGUUUGUACAUUUUGGCUUUCUGCCAGUAAAUUUCACUUCGGGGGGUUGGCAAACACUGCCAAGAACACACAUGCCUUUUGUGCAUAGACAAAAUUUGCUUAUCUACAAACAACAUCUUGUUCAUGAACAUAUUGGUCUAAUAAUCGGCACAUUCAAAUCAAGUUCUCCCAGUGUCCAAAUUAUAUAUAACUACUGUGCAUCAUUGUUUCCAUUCUAGCCUUUAGUAACUCUAUAUUCUGCCGGAGUAGUUCCAUGCUGAAUCUGUUCCUUGACUUCCAGGCAGGGCCAUCUUUUUUUUUUUUAAAGGUAAAAGGC
Rana temporaria (common frog) is the source of this 1757-nucleotide long non-coding RNA. RefSeq lists it as uncharacterized. NCBI's taxonomy places the organism in Eukaryota, Metazoa, Chordata, Amphibia, Anura, Ranidae. The record is from RefSeq and is a predicted model, not a curated record. The transcript is spliced from 4 exons.